Molecule: long non-coding RNA, 1815 nt
Filed under: Androctonus crassicauda
Lineage: Eukaryota; Metazoa; Arthropoda; Arachnida; Scorpiones; Buthidae
Source: RNAcentral
UGUUAACAAGAGAUAUAUUUGCAAGUCUAAUUUGAAGAUUCUGUUACAGAUUUAAUAUAGCAUCUGUUAGAUAUCAAGGUGUAAUGCUGGCUUCCUCCACUUAUCCAGUUCAAAAACACGAAACACGUUUUUCAAAAUUAAAGAUUGCUUUAAUCCGUUUAGCAUAAAAUUGCUGAAAGAAGAAAAAGCUCGCUAAUGUUCCGUGUGUUUAGAAGGAAGAAGAGGAGAAUAAAAAAACGGAAAUUGCAGAUUCCAGUAAUUACUUUUCGUUAUCUAUACCCACUUACGUCUUCGGAUCUAUUCUUAGAGUGCUUAUGCAACAGAUUUACAGAAAAUCAAUGGUCGAUUGUUUAUUGGUUUGAUGGAAGUGCUUCAUUGUGUUCCAUCCUGUCUUGCAGUCACCAGUUCCUACGAGACGUACACUGUAUUGUUAAGUCGUUAGGAUGAUGGUUCUGUUCCAGACUGACGUCUAAUUAUCCAGGAAUUGCACUCACGGUUUGUCUGAUGACGACGUCUGGGCGGGUUUUAUGAUGUUUCUACAUAGUCUGCAGUCGUGUUAUUCCAUCAGACUCUGUUGUUGUUUCUUACUACCUGGGUCACAACCGUCAGAAUUUUUUAAGGGAAGAAAGAAAAAUCCAUCUAAACAUUAAAUGUUCAAAACGACUGGGAGUAAUAUAUAUAUGUAAGAAAGUGUAUUUUCUGCGACAAUUUAAAGAUUAAUGCACUAUUAAAGUGACUGGUGUCGCAGUUGCACAUUGUUUUUUUUUCCUCCCCACUCUUCCAUCCAUAAAACUUUCAAGGCAUACAGUCUUAAUGACUUGCGUAAUGAGCCGUUUAUACCACCAACAGCUGAGACGUAAUGUAAAGAUCAUAAAUGUUAAUAGAGAAUAAAAGUUAGAUGGACUUUUAUUAGUGGAACCACUCACCAUUCCAACUUCGCACACGCAUACUCGCACAGGCGAGUAUAUGUACUCGCAUAUGCAUAUUGAUUGUUUUGAUCACGUUGCGCCGGACACAAUGACCCUUUUUUUUUGCCAUUUGUGCGUGCGUGUUUUGUAUAUCCUCGUUAUAGUUAAUCCGCUUAGAGUUAAAGUUAAAAAAAAGCCGAGAAGAUAAUUAAAAACGCAGUUAAACCAUGGCGAGAUAACAGUAUCAAUGUGGAUGCCGUGAUUGAUGACGACGAUAUUUACCCCCUCUUAAUAUAGUAUAUCGGCGUGGUGCUUCAUUAAAAUGCAAUCUGGACAUGUUUCUUUUUUAUAGCUGCAGUGCAGCACAGUGACGUCGUAGAAGAAAAUAUGGUGGUGAUCAAAAUGAUUGAAGUUGUAGUCUCUCGAGACGAGAAUUUCUUCGCUGCGGUGUUUCACUUGUCAAGCAGAUGAUCCGCAUCCGCAUCACUUGUUCAGUUUACGAGUUUUUCUCCUACGGUUACAGUUUCCACUUAUAAAAUACAAUAAAUUCUCACUGUCCCGUUCGUGUUCGGUGUGUUACUACUCGGAGAAAAAGUAUUUGUAAGUGGAAAUUUAGAAAAAAAAAAAAAAAGAAAACCUCUUGUAUGGCUUUGUUAAGAGUCAUCCUACCGUAAUAAUCUGUCAUGCUGUCGAAGAAGUUGAGAGAUCGUUAUAGUCUUUAGAAAAUUUCUAGAGGAGGAUUUUCGACGCUUUAUUUGGCAGAUUGCAUCAUUCCAAUUUAACAGCUUCAAUGUAUCGUGAGAAUACCCUGAAUUAUUUUAAUCUAGAUAAAAUCUUUAUCCGUCAUCGCAAGAGAUUGCAAUUCAGUUUUUGAAGAGUUUCAUACGAGUUUUUUCUUUUUUUUCCC